Molecule: ribosomal RNA, 253 nt
Filed under: uncultured bacterium
Lineage: Bacteria
Description: partial 16S ribosomal RNA
Rfam family: Bacterial small subunit ribosomal RNA
Source: RNAcentral
CACGGGGGUUGCGAGCGUUGUCCGGAUUUACUGGGCGUAAAGAGCACGUAGGCGGGAACUUAAGUCAGGUGUGAAAGACCGUGGCUCAACCACGGGGUUGCAUUUGAAACUGGGUUUCUUGAGGGCAGGAGAGGAAAGCAGAAUUCCUGGUGUAGCGGUGAAAUGCGUAGAAAUCAGGAGGAAUACCAGUGGCGAAGGCGGCUUUCUGGACUGACCCUGACGCUGAGGUGCGAAAGCGUGGGUAGCAAACAGG